UACGGGGGGGGCAAGCGUUGAUCGGAAUUACUGGGCGUAAAGGGCUCGUAGGCGGCCAACUAAGUCAGACGUGAAAUCCCUCAGCUUAACUGGGGAACUGCGUCUGAUACUGGAUGGCUUGAGUUUGGGAGAGGGAUGCGGAAUUCCAGGUGUAGCGGUGAAAUGCGUAGAUAUCUGGAGGAACACCGGUGGCGAAGGCGGCAUCCUGGACCAACACUGACACUGAUGAGCGAAAGCCAGGGGAGCAAACGGG
Molecule: ribosomal RNA, 253 nt
Filed under: uncultured bacterium
Lineage: Bacteria
Description: partial 16S ribosomal RNA
Rfam family: Bacterial small subunit ribosomal RNA
Source: RNAcentral